RNAcentral lists this long non-coding RNA (352 nucleotides) under Homo sapiens (human). RNAcentral's name for it is "non-protein coding lnc-RIOK1-1:2". Lineage: Eukaryota; Metazoa; Chordata; Mammalia; Primates; Hominidae. The record is from RNAcentral.
UUUAUGUUUCCGUAGUGUGGGAGCUUUGUUCUUUCACUGUUUGCGGUGCCAUUCCAUAUAAAGUGAAGGAUAACGGCUACAGCAUUUUUUGUUAGACUUGGACAAUGUUGAAUGUACUACAGAAGCAUACUUUAAGGCUCCAGAGAGAGACAAGGAGAUGAGGAGACAAGCAGACGAACAGCGGAACAAUGCAGCAGAGAAAGAGAGAAGAGAAGGAACGUCUGAACGUCGAGAGGAGUUCGGCUGCUGGACGGCCAAACUCCAGGGGAAGAUCAUCUUCCCACUCCAUUCCCCCUCCAGCUCCCCAUCCAUCCCACUGAGAGCCACUUCCACCACUCAAUAAAAGCCCCAC